This 204-nucleotide long non-coding RNA is filed under the name Mytilus galloprovincialis (Mediterranean mussel). Lineage: Eukaryota; Metazoa; Mollusca; Bivalvia; Mytilida; Mytilidae. The record is from RNAcentral.
GGGCAAUGUAACGGAUUUCGGCCUCGUUGUUCAACAGUUUGAGUCCCCUCCCCCUUUUCACUUUUUAUCAGAUUAAAUCUCUGUUUAACCGUAUUGGAUACUUAUAAAUUUUUGAAUAUGUUUCUUUUUAUUAGAAUAAGUUAUCUUAGAUAUUUAUUAUGAACAGUAACUUGAGCAAAGAUAAAAAUAACGUCAAGUCCCACC